UCCGGCUUAUCACCGGCAGUCCCCUUAGAGUGCCCAACUAAAUGAUGGCAACUAAGGGCGAGGGUUGCGCUCGUUGCGGGACUUAACCCAACAUCUCACGACACGAGCUGAUGACAGCCAUGCAGCACCUUCUCACUCGCUCCCCAGAAGGGCACCCCUAUAUCUCUACAAGGUUCGAGUGGAUUUAACCCAGGUAAGGUUCUGCGCGUUGCGUCGAAUUGAACCACAUGCUCCACCGCUUGUGCGGGCCCCCGUCAAUCCCUUUGAGUUUCAUUCUUGCGAACGUACUCCCCAGGUGGGAUACUUAUCACUUUCGCUUAGCCACUGAGAUUGCUCCCAACAGCUAGUAUCCAUCGUUUACGGCGUGGACUAC
This 373-nucleotide unclassified non-coding RNA is filed under the name uncultured bacterium. Its description in RNAcentral is "contains 16S-23S intergenic spacer region". The record is from RNAcentral.